UGCAGUCGAGCGGCAGCGGGAAAGUAGCUUGCUACUUUUGCCGGCGAGCGGCGGACGGGUGAGUAAUGCCUGGGAAAUUGCCCAGUCGAGGGGGAUAACAGUUGGAAACGACUGCUAAUACCGCAUACGCCCUACGGGGGAAAGCAGGGGACCUUCGGGCCUUGCGCGAUUGGAUAUGCCCAGGUGGGAUUAGCUAGUUGGUGAGGUAAUGGCUCACCAAGGCGACGAUCCCUAGCUGGUCUGAGAGGAUGAUCAGCCACACUGGAACUGAGACACGGUCCAGACUCCUACGGGAGGCAGCAGUGGGGAAUAUUGCACAAUGGGGGAAACCCUGAUGCAGCCAUGCCGCGUGUGUGAAGAAGGCCUUCGGGUUGUAAAGCACUUUCAGCGAGGAGGAAAGGUUGGCGCCUAAUACGUGUCAACUGUGACGUUACUC
This 436-nucleotide ribosomal RNA is filed under the name Aeromonas hydrophila. RNAcentral describes it as "bacterial SSU rRNA". It matches the Rfam family "Bacterial small subunit ribosomal RNA", at positions 56 to 480 of the family's 1533-position model. Lineage: Bacteria; Pseudomonadati; Pseudomonadota; Gammaproteobacteria; Aeromonadales; Aeromonadaceae. The record is from RNAcentral.